This is a long non-coding RNA of Gossypium arboreum, 206 nucleotides long. RefSeq lists it as uncharacterized. The record is from RefSeq and is a predicted model, not a curated record. The transcript is spliced from 2 exons. NCBI's taxonomy places the organism in Eukaryota, Viridiplantae, Streptophyta, Magnoliopsida, Malvales, Malvaceae.
AAAGAAAAGUAAAGGACUAAAUUGUAAAGUUUAGUCACAUUUUGUAUCGAGUACUUAUCUAGUCACUCGGGGAUCGAAGGAAAUGUCGGAGGCCGAUCACACUAUCAAAGAAAUAACUCGGUAUAACUAGACGUUUUGUUUUGGGUAUGGCAUGUAUAGAAACUUAGCUACUUUUGGUAUAAUAUGAAUAAUGAAUGAUGUGUAAA